RNAcentral lists this ribosomal RNA (468 nucleotides) under uncultured bacterium. Its description in RNAcentral is "partial 16S ribosomal RNA". It matches the Rfam family "Bacterial small subunit ribosomal RNA", at positions 28 to 507 of the family's 1533-position model. The record is from RNAcentral.
GACGAACGCUGGCGGCGUGCUUAACACAUGCAAGUCGAACGGAAAGGCCCUGCUUUUGUGGGGUGCUCGAGUGGCGAACGGGUGAGUAACACGUGAGUAACCUGCCCUUGACUUUGGGAUAACUUCAGGAAACUGGGGCUCAUACCGGAUAGGAGCUCCUGCUGCAUGGUGGGGGUGGGAAAGUUUCGGCGGUUGGGGAUGGACUCGCGGGUUAUCAGCUUGUUGGUGGGGUAGUGGCUUACCAAGGCUUUGACGGGGAGCCGGCCUGAGAGGGUGGCCGGGCACAUUGGGCCUGAGAGAGGCACCAGUCUGCUACGGGAGGCAACGGGGGGAAGUAUUACACAAUGGGGGGGAGCGUGAUGAGAAGGCGCCGCGUGUGUGAUGUCGGCCUUCGGGUUGCAAACCGCUUUCGCCUGAGACGAAGCGUGAGUGACGGUAAUGGAUAAAGAAGCACCGGCUAACUACGUG